GGGAAAGUGGCUCAGUGGUAGAGCACUUGCCUUGCAUGCAUAAGGCCCUUGGUUCGAUUCCUCAGUACCA
Molecule: non-coding RNA, 70 nt
Organism: Dipodomys ordii (Ord's kangaroo rat)
Lineage: Eukaryota; Metazoa; Chordata; Mammalia; Rodentia; Heteromyidae
Source: Rfam